GUAAGUGGAUGUCAUAGGUGGCAGAGGUUAGGUGCGGAGCAACAGGAGGCUAGGGUUUCUGCUGAAGAAUUUAGGUUUUGGGCCAAUCGGACCUCUAGGUUUUUUUUUAUAUUUUGGGCUUGUUGUUUUUGUUUUAUUUUCCCUAGUGGGCUGGGCAAAUUUGGGCUUCUACAGCUGCCCCUCUUUGUUCAUUGUCGUGUAACAAGAAUAGAGCAAAGACUUCAAAAGGGCCAAUUUUGCCUAGUUUUUCCAAGUCUCGACUUGUUCUGGUGCUUCUCUUCUUCAAGUAGCUUCAUUUCAGUCCACUGCGUCUGGUUGCUUCGAUCCACUUUGCUGCAACUUUUGGGGGACGUGGUUGGU
This 360-nucleotide long non-coding RNA is filed under the name Gossypium raimondii (Peruvian cotton). RNAcentral's name for it is "long non-coding RNA (GRAI_LNC000140)". Lineage: Eukaryota; Viridiplantae; Streptophyta; Magnoliopsida; Malvales; Malvaceae. The record is from RNAcentral.